UACGGAGGGGGCUAGCGUUGUUCGGAAUUACUGGGCGUAAAGCGCGCGUAGGCGGACCUGCAAGUCGGGGGUGAAAGCCCGAGGCUCAACCUCGGAACUGCUUUCGAUACUGCGGGUCUCGAGUCCGGGAGAGGUGAGUGGAAUUCCUAGUGUAGAGGUGAAAUUCGUAGAUAUUAGGAAGAACACCAGUGGCGAAGGCGGCUCACUGGCCCGGUACUGACGCUGAGGCGCGAAAGCGUGGGGAGCAAACAGG
Molecule: ribosomal RNA, 253 nt
Filed under: uncultured bacterium
Lineage: Bacteria
Description: partial 16S ribosomal RNA
Rfam family: Bacterial small subunit ribosomal RNA
Source: RNAcentral